RNAcentral lists this ribosomal RNA (440 nucleotides) under uncultured bacterium. Its description in RNAcentral is "partial 16S ribosomal RNA". It matches the Rfam family "Bacterial small subunit ribosomal RNA", at positions 338 to 795 of the family's 1533-position model. The record is from RNAcentral.
CCUACGGGAGGCUGCAGUAGGGAAUAUUGCUCAAUGGGGGAAACCCUGAAGCAGCAACGCCGCGUGGAGGAUGAAGGUUUUCGGAUUGUAAACUCCUUUUGUUAGAGAAGAUAAUGACGGUAUCUAACGAAUAAGCACCGGCUAACUCAGUGCCAGCAGCCGCGGUAAUACGGAGGGUGCAAGCGUUACUCGGAAUCACUGGGCGGAAAGAGCGCGUAGGCGGGAUAGCAAGUCAGAUGUGAAAUCCUAUGGCUUAACCAUAGAACUGCAUUUGAAACUGUUAUUCUAGAGUAUGGGAGAGGUAGGUGGAAUUCUUGGUGUAGGGGUAAAAUCCGUAGAGAUCAAGAGGAAUACUCAUUGCGAAGGCGACCUGCUAGAACCUAACUGACGCUGAUGCGCGAAAGCGUGGGGAGCAAACAGGAUUAGAUACCCGGGUAGUC